Long non-coding RNA from Calidris pygmaea (Spoon-billed sandpiper), 1590 nucleotides. NCBI's taxonomy places the organism in Eukaryota, Metazoa, Chordata, Aves, Charadriiformes, Scolopacidae. The record is from Ensembl.
AGAGCCUAUAGGACCAGCCAGGGAAAAAGGAAACUAAAAGGAACGAUGCAUGUCAGUCGCGUAGCAGUCAGUGCUCACAAACCAGUAGGAAGAACCGAGUCUGCUCGUUCUCCGUGGAAGAAAGCAAAGAUAUUCCCAAUGAUUCUGCAGAAAGUGAAAGGCGCUAGGAAAGAUUCCAGUUAUGCCAAGUUAAUGUCAGCUCACCAAGUGGACGGUGAGAAAAGCAUGAUUAUCAGGGGAAGUUACUUCCAGAAAUUGACAGACGACAGACCUUCCAUGAGAAAACUAAACCAUGUGUUAAAGCGCAUUAGUGUCUCCAGAAAAUUUCAAGAGCCUAUUAGGGACAAAAUUGAAAGAGAGGAAGAAAAAUCAGGAGUUUCGAUAAGUAUCACAGCAGAGAGUGAACGUGAGGAUAGUGAUUAUGAGAAGAAGAAAAAGAAGAGAAGAAAAUACACUUCAGAUGAAUCAUCCGAGAAGAGUAGUAGCUCUGGCUCAGAAUCAGAAGAUAAAGACUACCUGAAAGUAACUCUGGACCAAGAUGAAGCCACUGAAAGUACUGUGGACUCAGAUGAAGAAUCUGGGCAUGAUUUUGGGGAUUCUGAUGAUGAAUCGGGCUCCAGCUCUAGCAGCAAAUCAGAGGAGGACUCAUCUGAAGAAGACCAUGAUGAGGAAGACUCUGACAGUGAUGAAGAUGGUAGCUUGUCAAAGAGCUCAUCUACACAAAGUUCAUACAGCAAAUCAGGGACUAGUGAGUCCAGCAGUAGAAGAAACACUGAAAAGUCCAGUAUAAAAAGUAAGGGAGGCAGCUCUCGUGGCAGAGCAAGGCGAUCCAGCCAGAAAUCAAAUGCUAGCUCUAACGCAUCAGGUAGUGACAGGGACACGAGCUACAGGAAAACUUCAGGAUCCAGCUAUAAGAGCAAAACCUCCUCUGCCAGCCUGGAAAUAGAAGACACGAUAGAAGAGGUGUCAGAAGAAGAUGAACAAAUGGAUGCAGAGCAAGUCAGCGCAAGCCCUGAUGAGAGGGCAGGUCACUCAAAUAAGGCAGUUUCUGAAAUACCUGCCAAUGCAAAAACUGCUGCUACUGAAGAAGACAAGAGAGGAAAAUCGGCUGUUAAUGGUGAGGAAAGCGUGGAUGAAGGCACUGAAGAGGCUGAUACAGAUGCUAGUGACAGGGAGGAAACUAACAAUAAGAAUGAGUCUUCUUGCCUAGAAAGUGAAGUCAGUGUUACUUCCAAAGGUACGGAAGGGACAAAAAGCACAACUAGCACCACUUCGGGUAAAAAUGCUUCUUCCCCUGAUACUGAGAAUCAAAGUUCUGACAUCAACACAAAAAGAAAGAAAGGAAGAAAGAAGAUGUCUGAAGAAAACAGUCAGUCUCAGUCAGAUGAGACCCUGGGUGCUUCAGUCACAGAGUCAGAGACUACUGGUGAUUCUACAUCCUUUUAAAAAGGAGCAACAGUAGGUGGACGUUUUGCAGUAAGGAGUGAUCUUGUUUGCUGUGCCUUCUGUGUGCUCUUUCCUAAGCAAUACAGACUUGAGUAGAGACAGCCAAUAAGAGAAUGUCAAAGCUUAUUGCUUCAGCAUCUGAAC